Seriola aureovittata is the source of this 4772-nucleotide long non-coding RNA. RefSeq lists it as uncharacterized. The transcript has 3 exons. NCBI's taxonomy places the organism in Eukaryota, Metazoa, Chordata, Actinopteri, Carangiformes, Carangidae. The record is from RefSeq and is a predicted model, not a curated record.
AGAGGCAGCAGCACCAGAGUCGCCUUCACCGCCUUCCUGCAGGAGCCAGACCACAACGAGAUCAGCUGACUGAUCUGAUUUUUAACUUCAUACAGUGUGAAAUGUCACUAACACUGUAAAUCUGUCUGUGGAACUUCUUGUGCUGGCCUCGUACCUGUACUGGAUGGUCUCUGACGAGGUCGAUGCCCUCAGUUUGGUCAUCAGGAUCCGAACGAUGUUGAACAGGAAGACGAAGUUGACCUGAGGAGGAGACGAGAAACGUUCAUACAGAGUUGUUGUUUGUAUUGAGUCCUCGUCUGGCCCAACGUUUCUCUUCUGUCAAGGUUUGUUUGUAGUUUUAUACAUUAAUAUCGUUCUGUACCUGCACCAGGUGAUCAUAAUGAACACAGCAGGACCAAUCAGGUUCCACCGCUCUGUCUGGGGUUAAAUGAGCUGAGAGAUCAUUAAAGGGGACAUAUUAUGCUCCUUUUCAACAAGUUCAAAUAAGUCUCAGACGUCCCCAAAACAUGUCUUUGAAGUUUCUUGCUAAAAAAUCCACUCCGAUCUUAUAUUUCAGCAUGCCUGUAAACCCCUCUUUUUCAGCCCUGUUCAGAACAGGCUGUUUUUGUGUCUGUAGCUUUAAAUGCAAAUGAGCUGUGCCUGACCACGCCCCUCUUCGGAAGGGGAUGCGGCUUGGGCUUCUGGCACCAUGCUCUAAUGUUUACGGUGACCGUGACCGUCGACCUGGCGUCGGUAGCGAUUUGGUUCAACCACACGACUUUUAUCCAGAAUGUGACCCAGAGGGAGAGGCUGCUGAAGAAGUUCAAACUCUACAACUGAAUGGUUGGUAACCAAUGUUGUGUAUUUUGACUUUACAUUUUCAGUUUGUUGAUGUUUGCUGGCACACAGUUACCAACAUGUAGCUAGGUAGCUAAUGCUAACUGUUACUGUCUCGUCAUUACUGGAGCUCUUUUGGUAAAUAAGCACUAUUGUGAAUUGCGUAAUGUAGUUAUCUGUCAUGCCUCCUUAGAUAUACUUUUACAGUCUGAAAAUGUUUGUUGUAUGUGGACUGCUACAGGUGUUCAGUGUCAGUACUAGUCAGAUAUUUUAAUAGAUGCUGACAAAGUAAAUCAUGUUUCUCCAUGUUUUGAGCAGAGAUGCUCAUCAUGACAUCUUCCUUUAUGUAGUAAAUGUAUUUUGUGUAUUACAAUGAAAGCUGUAAAUCAGUAUAAACAUGUCUGACAGCAACAGUAAUCUUUAGUCAAAGACUAAACUGUGCAGUUUUCUACACUACACUGUUGUCAAGCUCCACAUUAUAUGCAAUAAGUGACAUGUUAUAAAUGACCUGUUAUAUGCGCCUGAUAUGUAGCCAAGCUUACUUCUUACCCACCUUAGCUCCACUGUCUGUCAGUGUUUGAAUUUCACAAGCUUUAUAUUCUGGUGAAUGUUUCCAUUUUUCUCUAUAUUUUGGACAGGUGCUCCUGUGGAAACUGUGCAACCAUGCCCACAGAAGCUGAGAACAUCUGCUGCUAGGAGAUACCACAGGUUACCAGACGGCUAUGGGAGAUUAAGGAAGAUUUAUCAUGUAUGGUCGGCCGUCCUGGGUUGGAGCCGCUCUGCCUCAUUGUGUUCUGCCUGCAACAUGUACCGCACUGACUAUGGUCCUUUACGGUUGAGAGGAAUACACCAGUACGUUUUGCUUCUUUGUAAAAACAUAGUUUCAAUCUGAAUAAAAGAUGUUAGACAGUCUUGUUUUACUUCAGUGCACAUAAUUUUACAAUGGUAACAACACACCACAAAUAGAGUAACACACCCUCAAAUAAAUUAGUUUAGCUGCUCUUUGAUUUGUAAAGUUCUUCUAUCAGCAGAUAGUGUGCAUAUAAUAUAUGAAUUCAGAGGAGUCAUUUCUUUAGUAAUAAUCAAGCAUUUAUUUACAUCAAAUGAGGCAAUUAUAAUCAGUGAUAAUAAAAAAAACUGUAGGAUUCACUGGAUCCAUAAAAAAAAAAUUGUGAGACACAACAUAGAUAUAUGUUUGCAAGACUAAAUGCCCUGUCCAGUUGUUUCAGUCAGUACAGGUAUCUAGCCUAUAGGAGCUUUGUGAGCUGGUGCUUCCUUGGUUGCAGAAUCCGGGUCGUCAUUCCAGCCUGCGUGGUCCUACGCAUCAGUGCCGAGUUUCCUGACGCCACAGGCCGGUAUGUGGGUUUUAGACUGGCCCAUGAUAGAACCGGGACACAGAGCUGGAUAUGACCUCCUCCUUCUCAGGCCGCUCCAACUGUGCAGUGAGGUCCUCUGGGAUGGGGAUGGCCAAAGCAGCUUCUGUGUAUGGUCCCAGGUCAACAAAGACUUUUUCAAAUAUGAGGUCCACCACAUUCCCUGUUUGAUAAAACACAAAAGAUUUUGUUUACAUUUUUCACUUUUUUGUUGUUUUUUUACAAAACAAUGACUGAAAGUCUGUUUCUAAAUACCUCCUGACAUUUUCUUUACUGUAUUUUGUUGUUGAUGGAACUGUCAUAACAUUAUAUGUGCAAUACUUAAUACAAUGUGUACAAAACAUUUUUUGGUUGAAAAAUAAAAUAAUAUAACACUUAUAGAAUGUCGCCUCAGUCUUAACUGGUGUAGCUCUGCAUUCUCCCUUCAUGGCUUUUGGAAAUUGGACCUUGAACAGUGGUUCACCUUCUUUUGUUUGGGCUUGUGGUCGGUCAGCAGUUUCAUUGUAGUACAUGGCAGCCAGGUGACAGAUGAUGACAGAAACCUUAGCCUACACACUCUCACAAGUUCUAAGUAACCACAGCUUCAUUUACCUGCACAUUAUUCCACGACUGAUAAAUGACUGUUAGGUUUAUCAAAAGUAGAUGCACUUCAGAUGGCUACAGACCUGUACUUCUGAUGUGAGGCUGAAGAUCUUCAAGGAUAACUGUGUGCCUGCAGUGGGUCAGUCUGGCAUGCAACAUCCCCUGUUGCAGGAAGCUGUAUAGAUGGCCUGAACAGAGGAAACAGAGGUUACACCAACAUCUCCUCAAAUGUGUAGUUAUGGCAACAGCUGCAAGCAGUGCAUAAAUGAUAACAACACAUGCACUCAAUUAUGUGUAAACUGGGUUUGUCAAUAGCUUGUAAAUACUGCAAAUAGCUCACUAUAUGUGCAAAAUGCAAAAAAUGUGUAUUACAGACUAUCUCCUUUCACAUAUUCCCUGUAACUCUGCGCUUAUCUAGAUAUUCCCUACAGGCACUGUAUCUGUGAACAUGAUAUAAACGUUAAAACGGACAUCAUAAGGCAUGACUCUCAAUAAUAACUUUCACAGUACUAAUAAACAAGCCCAGAGACCUAUGCUAAUCACUGCAAAGCUUGUUUAGUCUGAAUUUUACUGGCUUGACUUUACAGACAGCUAAAACGCCUUUCAAGUGUGAUAUAGUUAGCAGGGUGGCUAAUCAAGUUAGCUAAUCAACGUCACACAGCAAUACCAAGCAGAAGAAUUGCAUACAAUCUGUACCCGGCUAUACCCGGCUGUGUGGACGAGGCAAAACGUUAGCCACAUUAGCUGCCAUGCUAACAACACACGCAACAGUGUGUACAUACAGUAAAGCGACAUAAAAUGGUGAAACUUACAGCUCCAAAGUUUGAAGUUGGGUCUCGGACAGUCGGUGCUGAUCCAAGCUUUAUCUUCAGAAUGUAGCGAAUCCCGCAUUGUACUGGCCCUCAUUGAGAAAGCAGUCCGACGUGAAAUGGUUAGCCCGCUACAACUCCUAAAGUGUCCAUCAAAAAUCAAAUAAAACAAAUCCACUGGGUCUUCAGAUCCUCAGGCGUAGGGGAUAAAAAGACUUCUGUGCUGGUUUGUACAGCCAACAACCGAGCAACUAGCAUCGCUCGUACCUUCGACACAGUUUUACCAGAGCCGGUGAUGCGAGGGAAUAAACGAUAGCGGCUGCAAGGCGGACUCAGAGGGCGGAGCACACACCUAGCUCGGGGAGUGUCACCCACCUGGGGGGAGGUGUCAUCUCCCUUCAUGACGACAUCAAGGGAAAAUCUCCAAUUGGCCUGUGUGAGCACACAUUUUCUGAAAGGUGGCGAAAGCAAAAGACGGAGAGGAUGGACUUUUCUCAUGUUUGGGGGGUUUGUAGACAGGCCGGGGACACAUAUUACUGAUAGAAAACCAUGGAAAAGUGCAUUUUGCAUAAUAUGUCCCCUUUAAAGUAUAACAGCUGCAGGUAGAACAGAAAACAAGUUCUCAGUAUUAAAUAUUUAGAGGACAUGAAGCUCCCUCCCAUGUUGACCAUUAAAAGUAAAUGUUAAAACCUGGAUCCUGAACCGCCACAGACAGACGUGGAUCAGGAGGCUGCAGCGCCUCCUGCUGCUCAGAGGGAUAAAGUGACAUUUAAAGAGCAAACGAGAUAAACAUGGAGAGACUGAGGCGGUUUUCUGUUUGUGGAGAGGACGAAAUACAACAGGCCUGUUAAUGAGUUUGUGUUUAGACUCUACUGCUGAUGAUGAAGGACAGGGACAUGAAGAACCAACACGUGGAAAAGGGAAUGAUGUUUAAACAUCAUUUUUUUAGAGCCAUCCAUGUGUGUUGUUUGCUGUGUUGCACACAAAGUCACACAUCAACAAAAACUUAAAGGUUAAACUUAUUUUAUGUAAUAUUAAUGUUGUUACGCAUAUAGCUGAAAUUACAGCACAGAUGUUGUCCUCAUGUGUUUGGAGAUGCUCUGUAUGCCAGGUUAGGCUAGGCUAGGCUAGGCUAGGCUAGGCUAGGCUAGGCUAGGCUUAUUAAUGCAAAGCCAGAUAUGGACUGGAUGAG